This 72-nucleotide transfer RNA is filed under the name Cronartium ribicola 11-2. Its description in RNAcentral is "tRNA-Thr (AGT) (tRNA-Thr-AGT-43-1)". It matches the Rfam family "tRNA". From Rfam's summary of the family: Transfer RNA (tRNA) molecules are approximately 80 nucleotides in length. Their secondary structure includes four short double-helical elements and three loops (D, anti-codon, and T loops). Further hydrogen bonds mediate the characteristic L-shaped molecular structure. tRNAs have two regions of fundamental functional importance: the anti-codon, which is responsible for specific mRNA codon recognition, and the 3' end, to which the tRNAs corresponding amino acid is attached (by aminoacyl-tRNA synthetases). tRNAs cope with the degeneracy of the genetic code in two manners: having more than one tRNA (with a specific anti-codon) for a particular amino acid; and 'wobble' base-pairing, i.e. permitting non-standard base-pairing at the 3rd anti-codon position. Lineage: Eukaryota; Fungi; Basidiomycota; Pucciniomycetes; Pucciniales; Coleosporiaceae. The record is from RNAcentral.
GCGUACUUAGCUCAGUGGUUAGAGUGUCCACCUAGUGUUUGGGGGUCGCGGGUUCGAGUCCUGCAGUGUGCA